CGGGGGGGGCAAGCGUUGUUCGGAAUUACUGGGCGUAAAGGGCUCGUAGGCGGCCAACUAAGUCGGACGUGAAAUCCCCAGGCUCAACCUGGGAACUGCGUCUGAUACUGGAUGGCUUGAAUCCGGGAGAGGGAUGCGGAAUUCCAGGUGUAGCGGUGAAAUGCGUAGAUAUCUGGAGGAAUACCGGUGGCGAAGGCGGCAUCCUGGACCGGCAUUGACGCUGAGGAGCGAAAGCCAGGGGAGCAAACGGGAUUAGAUACCCCGGUAGUCCUGGCCCUAAACGAUGAAUGCUUGGUGUAACGGGUAUCGAUCCCUGUUGUGCCGAAGCUAACGCAUUAAGCAUUCCGCCUGGGGAGUACGGUCGCAAGGCUG
This 372-nucleotide ribosomal RNA is filed under the name uncultured organism. RNAcentral's name for it is "bacterial SSU rRNA". It matches the Rfam family "Bacterial small subunit ribosomal RNA", at positions 526 to 896 of the family's 1533-position model. The record is from RNAcentral.